CGGCCCAUAGAAUCACGUCUCGCGUGAACCCUAAUCGAGUUUGGAGUCCUCGCCUUCGUCCUCCCUGUCUCCAUCGGCGCCGAGCGUGACGAAACAGAUGCUGUAACGGAUGCGUGUUUACUCCGAAUGUCUUAAAUUCGUGUGUCUGAUAUGAUCUCUUCGGUUGUGCUGCUCAUACGUCGGUGUGUGUUGUAAAUAGGUUCGUAUCUCACUCUGUUUUUUUUUCUUGAUCCCUUAAUCUCUCUGCUAUCUAUGUAUUAGAGCACUCCUAGAAUAGAAAUGAAGAUCGCUCCCCCCUCUGAACAACAAAUGAAUCCGACAUAAACAAGAAAGAAACCCUUUUCGUCUUCUCCAUCUUCAUGUAUGGUGCUUUGGCUUAGAGAGAUGAGCACAUUGUCGGUUAAAAAUUCUCUGUUUCAUCCAUGAUGACUCCAGAGCCGGAGGAGCAGUUGAAAGAGUUCGGAUCGAAGCUUGACCCACCUCCUUCGUCUAAGAUUCAUUGCUUAAACUCUAUAAAUUUGUUCCAUGUUUGAUGAGUUGGUUCGAGGUGAUAAUCACUCCUUCAGGUUCUCUCUAGAUCCACCACUCUUUAUCUUGAAAACAAUAGGGAUGUAAGUUAGUCAAAUGCGUAUGCAACAGAACUCAGCACCGUACAACAUAAUGUCAUUUUUUUGGGCCGGCUUUAUCUGAACGCACCUCUGGCACUCAUUUCUUCUUUGACACCGAGACUUAUGCAGGGCAGAUUUACUAUGAAAGAUGACUCCACAAUAACACCAAAGUAUCUUAAGCACAGGAAGUACAGACCCUAACCACCGCUGAACUCAAUGGUUAUGUCAUCAAAUCACAGCCUCAGCUUUUUAUUCAUGAAUCAAGACAGUUGACGGUUGUUCAGACUUACAACGGCUGGUGUUACAUUCCCUUCUCCAAGUGCUCCAAGAAGCUCCAGCGAGGUGUUUCUUCCUGCAUAGCAUGUGAUGUCUAAGAAAUAAUGUGGAAUUUGUUCUUAAACAUGUGGAUCUGAUGAUGGUAGCAGCUCCACAACUUCGUAUGAAAAUUUGUACCAGUAACUCUUUCUGAGCUGAACAACACGUUCUCAACUCUAUCAAUACUAUUAUAUUUACUACUAAGGUUGGUUGAACAACACG
This is a long non-coding RNA of Raphanus sativus (radish), 1145 nucleotides long. RefSeq lists it as uncharacterized. Lineage: Eukaryota; Viridiplantae; Streptophyta; Magnoliopsida; Brassicales; Brassicaceae. The transcript is spliced from 5 exons. The record is from RefSeq and is a predicted model, not a curated record.